Non-coding RNA from Vicia faba (fava bean), 222 nucleotides. NCBI's taxonomy places the organism in Eukaryota, Viridiplantae, Streptophyta, Magnoliopsida, Fabales, Fabaceae. The record is from the annotation of a GenBank genome assembly.
AUGAUUCACUAUAUAUAUUUUUCUUUUAUAAAUUUGCUAUUGUUUCAACUAAGUUCCUAUCUGUGUGUUCUGUUCAAUUCUUCUGUGUAUGAUUGCUUUAAUGGGAUGUUCUUUUUGCUCUGGAUCAUGAAAGAUUACAAACCUACCAACAGCUUGUGGAAAUGUUGGACUAAGAGAGUGUCUUCAAACUUGUUAAAAAAGCCAUAUGAUGAGGAAUUAUAG